CACACGUGCCAUUCACACGCUAGCAUGCAUGGGACGUGCGAACAGCGCGCACGUCCCCUCCGCACGCACGCACGAAUGGAACUUGCGCACAGCGUACACGUCCUUUCCGCCUACAUGGUGCAGGAUCAGGACCUGCACGCGUAUCCUAUCAUGCGCAGGCAGGCCAUCCACGCAUCACUUCGAGCAUGGACUUGCGCCGCACAAUGUGCUCAUGCUGUCUACGUAGCAGGCCAUCACGGAUAGACCCUGUGCGCCUAAGGGUUGCGUGCGCGGUGCUCAGUGCACCAAGGCUUUACAUGUGCGUAGGCUAGCCUUCACAUAGGGCAGCAGGCCUGUGCAUCUCCAAGCUAGCUUGUAGCGCAUCGGCCCAAGCUUUGCCGCCUCGAGCAGUGCUUCGCCACUACUUUAGGCAGCAUCGCUGCCGCCAGUGGAGGAAAUUUUCCUCCCUUAUUUUUUGUGCCAAGAUUCUUUUUUUCAUAUCUCUUCAUUGAAUUUAGCCACUUGGUGCAAACCCAAUAGUUCUGAAAUUCUAUAAAUUGCCCUCCCCCUUCCCUUCCUCUCCAUACUUUUAUU
This 573-nucleotide long non-coding RNA is filed under the name Carica papaya (papaya). Its description in RNAcentral is "long non-coding RNA (CPAP_LNC005597)". Lineage: Eukaryota; Viridiplantae; Streptophyta; Magnoliopsida; Brassicales; Caricaceae. The record is from RNAcentral.